RNAcentral lists this ribosomal RNA (460 nucleotides) under Scathophaga tropicalis. Its description in RNAcentral is "partial 16S ribosomal RNA". It matches the Rfam family "Bacterial large subunit ribosomal RNA", at positions 1922 to 2591 of the family's 2925-position model. The record is from RNAcentral. Lineage: Eukaryota; Metazoa; Arthropoda; Insecta; Diptera; Scathophagidae.
UUUAAAUGGCCGCAGUAUACUAACUGUGCAAAGGUAGCAUAAUCAUUAGUCUUUUAAUUGAAGGCUGGUAUGAAUGGUUGGACGAGAUAUUAACUGUUUCAUAAAAAUUUAUAUUAGAAUUUUAUUUUUUAGUCAAAAAGCUAAAAUUUAUUUAAAAGACGAGAAGACCCUAUAAAUCUUUAUAUUUAAAUUAUUAUAAUUUUUUAGAUUAUUUUUGUUAUAAUAAUUAAUAAUAUUUUAUUGGGGUGAUAUUAAAAUUUAAUAAACUUUUAAUUUUUAAAAUCAUUAAUUUAUGAAUAAUUGAUCCGUUAUUAACGAUUAAAAAAAUAAGUUACUUUAGGGAUAACAGCGUAAUUUUUUUGGAGAGUUCAUAUCGAUAAAAAAGAUUGCGACCUCGAUGUUGGAUUAAGAUAUAAUUUUAGGUGUAGCCGCUUAAAUUUUAAGUCUGUUCGACUUUUAA